Molecule: long non-coding RNA, 627 nt
Filed under: Homo sapiens (human)
Lineage: Eukaryota; Metazoa; Chordata; Mammalia; Primates; Hominidae
Description: HSALNT0371229
Source: RNAcentral
AGACUUUGGAGCAGGUGAUCCUUGGACGCCCACAGUACAUCACCUUCAUGAGCGCAUCAGUGAACACCAGUCUAAGGAAGACAUCUCUGAACGUAAUUUUGGAGAUUUUGAUGAGUUCCAUUGAAACAAGGAGGAAUGUGAUGUCCAGUAUCAGUUCUGCAGACCCAAGGACAAAGAAAAUUCUGUGAUAAACUCAUCCAGUGUGACUGUAAUGAUACAAGACACCGGACUUUCAAAUCAACAAUUGUUUCAAAAGACUCCUACUGGAUUCCUGCUAGUGAUGGGAGAAAAUUAUCAUUCUGCUAGUUAAUCUGUAGCCAGAGAUGAUUAAGGAGGUCAUUAAAGGAAAACAAGCUGCCCACCAUGCUGAUGCCUGGUUGUUCAGAUCGUUGAGGUGGUGUAGAGAUGACGCACACUGGCUCAGUUUACCCACAUUUGGAUCUACGGACCUGCAAGUCCUCUGUCAUGACACACCAGCCCUGGGAUAUCACAUAAGCUACAGGUCAGACGCUGCUUUCCAGACAGAAUUAUGGAGAAGACAACCAUCAUUUUGGCCCUGCUGGAAAUUUUCCAUGCUCUUCAUUCGUUCUCCUGUAUUUCCUAACGCCAAUAAAAGAGGAGAUCCCU